RNAcentral lists this long non-coding RNA (29446 nucleotides) under Phoenix dactylifera (date palm). RNAcentral's name for it is "long non-coding RNA (PDAC_LNC001149)". Lineage: Eukaryota; Viridiplantae; Streptophyta; Magnoliopsida; Arecales; Arecaceae. The record is from RNAcentral.
GUCUCAGAACUUGAUAGAUUUGAUAACCACCUAAUUGCCAUCAAAAAAUUCUAUUCAAGAAUAAUAUGGGAUGCCUCAAGGUAUUUCAUCGCAUCCAGUAAACUUUCGCAAGUAGUACACAAUUUUGUUAUUAGUGCUAUUACAACAAAAAGUUUAAUUCCAUCUGCCACCAAUAAUUCACCACUUGAACUUCUAAUAACAAAGGUGGAUCCUCUCAAAAAAAAAAUAGUCGGUCGAGAGAAUAUAAACUUCGCAGCAUAGGAACCAUUAUUUUUCCUUGCUAUCAAAGAUUUUUUUAAAGCAGCUGCGCAAAUAAAUUUUUGGGCCGGAGAAGCAUCUCUCAUCAAAAUCAAUUUAGGACACAAUGAGAGUGAUGGCUCUCAAAAAAGUUGAAGUCGGUCUGAGAGAAUAUAAACUUGGCAGCAUAAAACUAUUGUUUUUCCUUGCCAUCAAAGGUUUCUUUAAAGCAGCUGCGUAAAUAAAAUUUUGGGCUAGAGAAGCAGCUCUGAUCAAAAUCAGCCUAGGACACAGUGAACUCUUGUAAGGAACGGUGGAAGAAGACAUCACAAUGUUGCCUAUUUUCAUCAUAUUACUUUGAGGUGCAGGUUUUUCCAACGUGUUCCGCUAUCACUAGCCUUGUUAUCCAAAACUAAAGUUUUACCUGGUGCACGUGGAGAACCCACACCUUUAGCUUUGAUGGGCCCCAAAAGUAAUAUUCUAAUACCAAAGAACCAUACGUGAUGAUUGAUUCCGGUUGGCGGGGGUGGGUUUGCGGCGAGGAGAUGCAACGAGGAAAAAGCAUAGUUUCAAAUAACAUUUCAUCACCAUUGUCACAUCAUAACGGCAAACCUUCCCUGAAGCCAUCAUUACUACCAUUAUGUAUCUAAAAAUUGUCUCUUUCUACUUUUUAUAUCAAACUAAUUGUUGAAAUAAUGGCGAGCUACAGGAGAACAAUGGAUGGAAAAAUAACAAUCAUUUUAGGAGAGAAAUUUUUUAAAAGUUUUUUGUUAUCAUAAUAGAUCAUUAUCUUAACAAAUAAUAGCAUGUAAUAAAAGAUAAUAACUAUAAUAACUAUAAAGCUGUUAUUUAAUAUAUAUAUAUAUAUAUUUACGAAGUAUUCUAUGAUAAUUGAUAGUUAUUAUUAUCAGAUGGAUGGCCAUCAAAUAAAAUAAUCUUAUGCUAUAUAGAUAAUCUUUUUAGAUGUUUAUCUUUGGAUGACGAUACCAUACACCAUUAUCCUAUAUCUUAUUAAUGGAUGGUAUGAAAAAAGUAGGAUCUAGAUGGGCAAUUGAUAACUAAAUUUUAUUUUUUAUCAAAUAAAUGUUACUUCAUUUUCUCUUUUACCGUAAUUUAGAGAGAUGGCCGUUCAUCUGAAAAUAAGCAAAAAAAAUAUUUUUUAAAUAAUAGCUUUAUAAGCAUCCGGCAAAAUAGCAUAAAAAUAUUAUAGUUAUUAUCUUUUAUUAAACGCUAUUACAUACGCAUGAAAGUCAUGGAUUUUUUUUUCUUACGUAAAGAACGAAUCUACUGUGGAGGACAGAAGGGUGACGUAACGAGCAGAGGUUUGACUGUUGACCGCCGACAUAUCCCAUCGGUGUAUCUGUCCCGGCUUUUUGUCUUUGCUCAUCUCGUGGACAAGAGUCCGAUUCCGGACGCAGCACAACUGGCUCUGAUGUAACAUGUCGAAGUGCGGAUCCGGGGUGCACGGAGACAUGAUGUUAUGGUGAUUUGACCCACUGCGAGCCAUCCAAUCAUCAUCAGAUGGGUCCCGAUCGUGCGGCCUGGUGAUGGCGAAAAGUUUGAUUUUCCGCCGCGGCAGCAUGAUGUUUUUUGAUAAUUUCCGAGUCCUCUUGAUUCAUGACAUCCACCAAUAAUGGAGUGAAAUGUCGGAAAAGCUGAGCAAAUCCUCUGCUCACUCGGAAAAAUCACUCCGAAAAGUCACCAUAGCUGCCUCGCACCAUGCACUCUGUGCUUCAUCACAUGGCACAAUUCACAAUGCCAAUUCGAAAACAGGAGCAAGAGACCACAAGCCAGAUGAGUGAUUUUUUGAGCCACAAAUCUGGGUUACAAACGUUUUUGUGCAAUAAAUAGAAUAUGUGAAAAAAAUGCACUCAAUGUUGCAUUGUUGCACACAUGUAUUUAUUCAAGAAGAAAGCAUUAGUUGUUAAAUUUUUCUAUCAAUUUGUAAGAGUGGUGUGGAGGAAUGUCUUCAUUGAAAUAAGAGUAUAUAUGUAUGUAUGCAUGUAUCGUGCUGAUAUCAAAUGUUUCUAACAAAAGGGGGAUAAGGAAACAUGAAAUUAUGGAUAAAAUUCAAGUAGAAUUUGCACUAUAACCCGUAGCAUCGGUUGGUGUGGCACCAGAAAUGCUCAUGUUAUCAUAGACUGGUAUAUUCAUGGGUCGAUGAUAUGCAUGCGAAAAGAUAAAAAUAACUUUAAAACUCAGAAACUUGGAUGCGCGUAAGAGUAAUUGUUUGUAUACCUCAACACAUACCAAGAUUGGGUUUUGUGAGAAAAUUGGGUGUAAAAUAGACAUUUUGGGCUCCAAAUGAACUAAGAACUCCUUGUCUAUGACAUAGCAAUGAUGUAUGCAUACAUAUCAUUAGGGCCAAUCAAGAAACUGAAUUUACUUGCUCAUGAGAUAUUAUACAUUAAUAAGAAUAGCUGAGGGGUCAAAGGAAAAAGAAAGAAAUGCACAUUGAAAAUUAUGAUAUGGUUGUUGCUCCACUAAUCACAAAGUUUUUUCAAGAUGCAAGCUCCACUUUGACAAAGUGAUCGCUAAUAUGCCUAAAACUUUUGGUUUAUAGGUCCACGGCGUUCUAUGAUUCUUUCAGCAAUAUUAUCCUCUAGCAUUUUCUCUUGAGACGUUCCAUUGCAUGGGAAACGUCACAAAGAUAAGCGAGCUGGUAAACAAAACUCUAAAAUGAUCUCAAUAUAUAAAAAUAAUGCUAUGGUGACAAUUUAUAUGACAAAAAUUUCUUUCAACAAUAAAUACCACCAUUAGAAUGUGGUGCUCAUCUCUCCCCAUUUUCUAAAGAAAGCGUUGAGAAAUUUUAAUGGAAUGCUCACCUGUAUAUAAAAAUUACAAAUGUUCAAAAACAUCAUAGUUUUCAUAUUUUCCAUUUUUCUUAUAUAUCUCUAUAAAAUGGCAUGAAAUGGUUCCUCUUUUGUAAAAUCCACCCACUUUUUGAAUACCUGCUCAAUACUCCAGGAUACAUGUGAUGGAAAAUAAUUCGCAGCAUGAUUCAGAGUCUACUGGAUUCCACUUUCAUGCCUUCAAGUUUGUUGGUAGCCAUGAGUUCAAAUCAGUGCAAGAGUGUGAGUACUAGAGCUACGUGGGUAGGCUAACUGCUCUGCCCACAAGAUUUGUCAAUGAGUGGGUUUCAAUUAAGGCCCACACAAGCCCAAUUUGCAAACAGUUGGAUUUGAGCUGUGUGAAAAGUACAAGGUCUUUUUAGCAAAAAAAAGAGAGUAUAAGGUCUAUUUCACAGCUAGACAAGUAUAUUUACUAAAAAACUCACACCAAAACCUGAUUUACGAGAAGAAUAAGCAUUGAAGAGGCAUAGCGGGGGGGAGAGGGGGAGUGGGGGAAGGGGAGGGGAGAAAAAAUUGGAUUAAAGUUCUCCUUAAUUGUUCAUAAAACCACCAAUCCUCUUUUUAGUACAUGACAACCUCUCAUUUGUUUUCAAGUACGAAGAGAGCAAAUACUAGCCCAAAAACUCUUUAUUAAUAUCAUAAAUUAGAUUUGUGUCUAAUAAUCAAAUUGAUCACAAUGAAUAUCCACGCGUAAAAUUUGUUUCUUGAUGGUUUUAUAAAAAUCAAAUCUAAAAUCUCUGGUUACCAAGCAAAGGGGUAUAAACACUGGGUUUUCCAUUAGAUGUUUUAAAUGCUUUAUGGUUACAAUCCCAUUCUUAACCAUAAUUUUCAGUUUAUACUUUUUUUACUGUUCUCUUGCAUCAAUUUCCCCUGAUGGCAACUAUUGGGAAGAGUUAUUUAGCUAUCAUAACUUGGAUAAGCAUAAUUGGUAGGUAUUACACAGGAAAAAUCAUCAAUUUCAGCAAAGUGAACUUACCCCUUGUAUUUCUUCUCCAGCUUAUAUUUCCUCAAGCGAGAUUCUGGAAAAGACAGAAAUAGGAAGACAUGUAUCCAAAAUGAACAAACUAUAGGUACAAACUGUAAAUGCUAGUAACAGGCAAUGGGCUUUUACCUUAUCAAAAAGGAGAUCCCGAUUCGCUCUCAGAUACAGGACCAGACUCCCCAAAACAAAAUAUUUCAACAGAUUAUUUCACUGCUUCCAUGCAAUCUUUCUGUAAAUCUAUACAUUUUUUCUCCCUUUUUCAAUCUUUCAAGCUGGAAACAGAGACCUCUAUCAUGGUCAUCCUAGGUCUUCCCUAAACAGGGAGUGCCCAUAUAAAAAUACAAGAAAGAUACUUCGGCUUACAAAUUCCAACAUUUGUAAGCUGUAACUGUUCUGACAUUUGCAACAAGCCAUUGAAGUCUUUUUCUACAAUUCAGUUAUCAAAGCACUGGUAAAUAUUGUCUGCAUUGUCUGAAGUGAUCCGACAAAUGUAAAACUGGCAUCAACAUAUUCAUCCAUGCCUAGCCAUCAUGUUAUCAUAGUAUAGCUGUUUUAGCAUUUUACGCAUGGCUGAUUCUAAGAUCUGGCAGCUUCUCAGAGGUUCAAAAGGUUUCUAUACAAGCAUGAGUCAGAUGACGAUGAUGCCAAGUUCGCAGAUGGAUCAUACAUGUUGCAGACAUAAAUCUAGCAAGUCAAGAAUGGCAAACUGAAAAAUAUACAAUACUCUACGGUCUUAUCAAUACUUGAGGUCUUCUGUAGGUUUCAGAUAUAAUAGAAGCUUGUACAUCACAUGCCCAUCUGGUUCAAGUACUUCGGUGUCCUUCAUUGGCAUUUGCAGACCUUAUUCAGAGCAUCAAAAACAUUCUGAAGAUUUGUGUCUUGGACAAUCACGACUUUUUCCCUGGAUUUUGAACCAGAACCAAUAGAUACCUGCCUUUUCUUCACUCCUAAAACCUGCAUUUUAUACAUGGUCUGAGCUUUCAACAACUGGUCAGGCAAAUCGUAUAUUUGAUUAAUUUAAUAUUGAUAUAGUUCAAGGGAAAAACCCUCAUUGGAAUAAAAAGUAAAUUGUAGAUUAGGAUUGUGAUUUUUUUUCCUAGUUUUCAGAAGAAAUCGCCAUGGUGUUUUUAGGCUUAUGCGUGUUUAUCUUCCUAUUCAAAUAAACAUAUGAUUUCGAAUAGAAAAUAAAGAAUAGUGAAGCUCAUAGUUCCUGCAAAUACUGGAUAUCACAUCUGAAGCCACUUCGGGGAUUGCAGCAUCAUUUGUUAACAUGAUUGUAUUUUAUCUUGUUACUCCUAAUGUUCUACAGUUUUCAUGGUUCCAUUAACUAAUUCUUGUGCUUCAGAAAAGUUUCAAAGACAUGCUGUUAGGAUUGAUUAGGAUUGUCAACUGAGAGCUUGGGAUGAGAUCUUGCACAACUCAACCUGCUUAAAUGGAUUCAAGCAAGUAGCAAGAGUACAGAAAGGACGAGAAGCAGGCAGUGAUAUGCGUAGCUGGGUGGGAAUCACAAUGCUGGAUUGCAGCAUCAUUUUGUCAACUUGCACUUCAUGUCAGUCUAUCUUGAUAUUAGUUCUCUGUUUUAUCUUUUUAAAUAUGGGUUAGAGCUCAGAAAUCAGAAAGUUUUGAAGAUUCAAACACAAAAGAAUACAUUACCAAAAAGGCCCUUAGAUCAGAUUUUUUGGAUUCCCUCCAUCUUUAUAACCUUUGUUGUCUUUGCUUCCCCUCCAACUGAUUUUCAAUAAAAAACCAUUGCAAGACAACUUUCAGUUUUAUUACUGCUUCAACGCAUUUGAAAUGUUUUUAUAUUGUUAUCUGUUUUAAGAAAAUGAGAACUUAAUUGUUUCAUUUUCCUUUUUUUUUCUCUUGUAUUAGUUUUUGUUUUCAUAUUUUCCAAAUUUUAUCUCAUUAACAGUAGUAACAAGCUUGUGUCACUAUUAUUGUCAUAGUAGAAAGUAGUAACAUACUGUGUUACUCCUACUAUCCUAGCAGAUGUAGAAGUGAUAUGAUUCAAGCAGAAGUCAUGCUUUAAUUAUUACCGACACACUUUUGGAUCAUGUAUGAUGGAUAAUUUAUUGACAACAUAUGCAAGUUUUAACUAGUAAUUGAAAUAUAUGAAGCCUAAAUUAUUUUGCAGAUAUUAUAUGAAUUUGUUGCCUCCGCGGUCAUCUAAUUGCCUAGGCUAUAGAAGGGUCCAUUACCUAGGGCUGCCAAGGCUAUUUGAAAAACAUUAAGUUGACCAACCAUGCAUACCUUUUAAACAUGAGUGCAGAAAAUCAAGUGAUGAAGCUUAAUUUAGCAAUCAAUAAUAGCUAUUUUAUCUUGUCAAAGCCUUAGCUUUGAUUUAAGAGAAGUAUAUCUAGUUCUUAGCUGCUUUAUCCAUUACUCUGGCUUCAAUAGAGGCAAUAUAGCCCACUGGUUGCGGCCCUCCUCCAGAAGGUGUUUCAGUCUAGGUUCAAACUCUAGAAGGUGUUUGACUCUUAGAUAAUAAUUAGUGGCAUUCUCAUUGUGGUUCUUCCGCAACCUGAACCCCACAAACCACACCCCCCCCCCCCCUCCCCCCAGGACGUCUAUCACAAGGUUACUCUUACACAAGAGUGGCAAAAUUUGGUGAGACUCGCCAACCUAGUGUUGCAGUCCAAGGACCACAAGGAGCAGUCAUGCACAUUCUCUUGGCUGAUCGUCACUGGCUAAAGAGAAGUCAACAUAGGCAGUUAUCACCGACCUCUUUCAGGCCAUUAGUUUGUCUAUUUUUGUUUUCUUUAGUUAUAGUAUUUUCAAGUUGUUAUUGGAAUUAUUUUGCUGAGUCUUAAGAGACUUUUUUAGAAGUUUCCCAUGCAUCAAUUUGCACUGCAUACAGGUGCCCCAUAUGUGAAUUUAUUUUUAAUUAAGAUUCCUAGAUGGAAUCAAACUUUGGGGAACUAUAAUAGCUGAACAUCCCUCUUAAAAUUAAAAGGAUUCGGCUCCCUUUUUUUCGAUCUUAACGGGGCCUGUUUGGAUGUCCUCAUAAGAUAUUCCAUAGAUAAAAUCUCCUCUAAACUAAUUCAAACAGAGACACUGCAAAAUGAAGGAAGAAACUCAACCCUUGAUGAAUCCGCUAAGCAUAAAAUCACGAAAAAAUCGGGAUUCAAUAUUGACUGUAAAAGGUGAUUUACAGUAUUUGCUGUUUUUUAGGAUUCUUAGUUCCUUAAUCAGCCCAAUAAUAGAAAUACUCAUUCUCUGCACCAUUUAACUUCCACUCAUCACCUUCCAUAUUAGAUUCCUAUGGAAUAACCAAAGCAUGAGCCAAAUAGACCCUAACAUCGCUCAAAAAGAGGGAUAUGACCAGAAUUAGUGGGGUGGGCUUCAUCAUUAUUUCCUCUUUUCAUUAUUUCUUGUUGAAAAAUGAUUCUGGGCACCCGCAGGUUGCACCCGAGAAGUUCAUCAGGCCCAUAAUGGCCAACUUAGCAAUUCAACAAUCAGGGGAGCCAUAUAGCAUUACUUUUUCUUGUUUAGGAGUCCUACUGUUAUAAAGAAAGGUGUCCAGCUGAGGCUAUCAAAAUAUAUUGACAUUGUGGCUGGCAAAAUAGUUCAAGAAGUUCAUUUUGACUUGAGCAACCACUGGCCUUCCACUGCGUCUUCUUCUCCAACUCUUCUAUUAUUAUCUCCUGUCUUCUACUCUUUUCUACUCUACUUCCCACUUUCUAUGCUUUAGCACUGCUGUUAAACAGCAGGUUCUUUCAGCAUAGUUAAAAAGCAGCUUCUGAAGUUGCAGGAUUCAAAUCUAAUUAGAGAUUUGAAUCAAUUCUUAGCUAUUAAUAUUAUAUGAUCCCAUAACAAUUCGGGGUUACAUCACUUGGCCAAACAAGCCAGAAAUAAACAAGGCUAUGGUGGAGAGUUUCUAUAAAUGGGUGAGUUUGGGUUACGUAAGACUAACUCGAUUAUAACUGGGUCAGGUUCAAUUUGGCCCUCAGACCCAACAAGUAGCCAUGGGUUGGGCAAACCUUGAAAUCUAGCCACAGCUCCCCAUGAUAGUUGUAUUAGUAUGGCAGGCCAUGGAUUAGUCAAGGCCUGGUUUUAGUGAGUAGGACAACAAUGCAGUUCAUGGUUAAGAACAAAACAUGAAAUACAAAAGAAAAAAGUGAAGAAGGAUAAUGCGAUCAGAAUUUUAUUGCACAGUCCCCACCCCCAUCCCUUCUUUAUUAGGAAGCCAACCCUAGGUCCCCUCUUCUUGGACCUAUUCAAUUUUCAUUUUAGAGGCAGAACUGACAAGUGCAGCCUAAUUGCGUUCCAUGCCGAGUAUGACACGAUAUAAAAUAAACAGGUUAAUUAUGGCCUAGUUUUUCAACUUGAUUAUAAUUGGGCAGCAUCUAGGUUAAGAUUUUUUUUUUUUUAAUUCAAACCUAAAGUCUGGCCCGAACCAAACCCCCAUUUCGCUUUCCAUCAUACUAUUUCAUGGUCAGAACACCUUAUUCCUCAAUUCUGUAGAUAUUGUUCAAACUUAAUCAUGAGUAAAUUUUGUUAUUAAGAUGGUUUCUACUAUUAUAGGUUUAUAGCCUUGCAUAUUCAUGGAGAUGUGACUUGGUUUAGCCUCAAUAUCUUCUAGGACCAACCUCAAUUGAAGCCAUCCUCAUCAACUCUCACUACCUCAAGCAAAAUGAUGUCCUAAGAUGACUUGAGUGUUAUAUUAGACAACUCUCUUGUGCUUCUUAAUAUUUAAGAAUUUUAAAUAAUCUAAAGGACCAAGGUUUGUAUUGUGUUUGACAAUGAAUAAGCACAAAUGGAAAUGAGAAAAAUAGCCACAGGUUUAGCCGAGACCUAUCUUAAGAAUCCAUGUUUAAAGGCCAAGAGAUUGCACUGGCUCAAGGAAAAAGGUCCAAAGAACUUCACAUGUGAUUGAUUUGAAAGAACCAAUCAUAAAGCAUUACUAGUAGAGAACCAAAAUCUACCAAUUCUUUUCGGCAAUCCAGAUUUCAUCUUAUUCUCCAAAAUCCUUUUAGUCAUAAAUGGAAGAAAUACUCAGAAGGACAUUGUCUACGAAAUAAAUCUCGCAGAUUUCAUAAGAUACUGCUAACACAAUGUUGACAUCACAGUAGCUAAAGAUGGAAUAUAGGAUUUGAUGGUGAAUAUCUGAAAUCAGAAUCAAUAGAGAUACCACCAAAUCCCCAUUGAUUUGAAAAUCAAAUUAUGGAGAUUUUUUUCUAUCUUUCCUUUCAGCAUUUUUGUGGAGAUAAUCUAUAAAUAAAUAUUCUCUUUUCAACUAUGACUGAAUGUAGACAUAAAAGAAAGAUUCAUAGGGAUUUUAGAUCUAUAAAUAGGGGUGCCUGGACAAGUAAAUACCACCUUAGGUUGAAUAAAAUUGCCAAUUAUUUUCCCCUCAUUGUAAGUUGUGGGUGUCAUUCUCAUUGCUUUCUUCCUCCUAUCUUGCUACUAUAUUUGUUGGGUAGCUCUUCUUCCUUUAUAGAGAGAUCAUCACAUGCACUUUAAAGUUUAAAUGAAUAUUUUAGUUCAUGGUACCCCUUGAACCACAUAAUAGAAGACCUAUAAUACAUCUACUCAUGCUAAUAGGAUUAUCUUCCGAGGUCAUCCAUUCUAGAAAGUCCUCAAUCCCAUAUAAAAGGUCAAUGCCUCCACUCCACCUAAAUUACAGUCAAAACUAUGUGCAGGCCAUGAAGUGCAAGCCUACUUAGCUGCACGAAAUCUAACACAUACCCUAAAAUUAAUGCAAUUACAUUAACAAGAGUUACUUUCAAAGUCGCCUUUUUGUGAAAAUACCGAUCCCAAAAUAUAAACGUAAAUGGCACCAUCUCAUUAGAUUCUCAAGCAACAUCUGUUGUGAGCUGAAAUAUCAACACUGUUGAGAAAUUAACCAUAACAAAAAAGUAACACCAUUGAAUUAUUCAAGGCAUGUCUUUGUAAAAGCCAUUUUGAUCAAAGAGGAGAAUGCAAGAAGAAUUAUGGGGAUUAUAAUGUUUGCUUCAUCAAUAAAAAUGUAAAACGACAAACCACUUCUUUGUCCAAAGUGAUUUCACCCAGAUGUCAAGGCUUAGCUCACCUUUCAGCUUUAGAACCACACAAGUAGAAAAUGCCCUUAUGAUCAAGUACUUUAUUGGCUUUUUAUCAACAUGAUUCAACAAUGAUGAUUGCUCAGAUUCUGCUUUGCCAUAAAUCCCUCCUGAAGACCCACAACUAAGUAACCUAACAGAAACAUAUUGAUGUCAACUCAAUCUCCAAAUUUUGCAUAAUUCAACUUCAAACCACAUUAAAGUAAAUGCACUCUCCGUACUAAAUCCCUUUUGUUGUAGUUCAUUGUGCAAAUAAUUCAAAGUUGUUGCCUUCCAAAAGGGUGUCCUUAUUCUGACUUCCUGAACUCUAGUUCUGCAACCAUUAAAAGAAAAUGACAAACAUUUAUAGUUCCCGUUACCAUACUCUCCUGAUUCUUUUUGGUAAACUAAAAACCCUAAAGUUGCAAAAAUCUCCAACAAAAUGUUCCUGAUUUCAGGCUUCUAAAUUAACCAACAAAGCAUCAAACACUUUGGCUUGUGUUUUGUUCUCAUCAUCUUUCUCAAACUAGGGAUGGCUACUUUUUUGAUGUAUUUCUCCAAUAUUACUCCUUGAGAGAAAUCAACUAAUUAUUCUUGAGAUAAUCAAAGUAAAUGAAAUAUAGCACAUGUACAGGUCAACUUGAUCUGAAAAACCAGAAUUGCCUUUGGAAUUAUUGCCUAUGUUAAUGUAACCUCAUCUUGUAACACAAUCCCCAUCCAGAUGUGAGACUUACUCUUUUAUUCAUAGCUUUAAGCAAAUGACAUUCCCUUCCAACUCUUCUCCCUAUCAGUAGGUUGAGAACUCCUAACCAAAUCUACAACUUAAAACAAAGGAAAGACCACAAUAAUAUCGUUCCUAAUGACUCCACUGCUCGGAAACCAGAAUAUAAGAUAGCCUCUUCUCCCCCCAAGAGGUCCCAACCCAUAAACCACCCAUGAACUCAACUUCAAAGACCGCAAGAUGAUAAAUUAUACAAAUUACAAGGAAAACGUAAUUUUGAGAAAAUUAAGAAAAAAAACUUUCGAUUUAGGGGGCUAACCGAGCUGAUGUAGUCGACCAACGCCGCGUUGGCUUCCCCGUCCCUCGCCGGAGCGUCGAUCUGCACGCCCAGCGCCUCGUCGCCGAAAUCUGAGGCCGACGGACGGAAGGAAAACUAGGGUUUUAAUGCGACAAAAUAGCAAUAGGUGAUCAAAAGGAGGGGGGUUGAGGAGAGGGAGCGAACCUGUGAUCGUGGCGACCUUAGAGCCCGGUUUGGCGUGGACGGUUAUGGCGACGGAGGAGGUGGGUAGGAGGCGGAGGCAGGCGGGAAUUCCUGCCGGCGCUGCCGGGGCGAUGGAGGCCGGAGCGGCGGAGUCGCCUUUCGCUUUGCCUCGUUUGGACGGUGCCAUUCUCUUGAACAUAGGUACCGCACCACCACCGUGGAGUACUAGUUCCCAAUAAACACGGCAUAUGAUAUGCCGUCUUCUGCGAGAGAGAUACGGCCGUCACGCCCCACCGUGAAGCUGAUUCCUGACUCAAACUUGAGCCGACCCUAAACUGGACCGGACAGAGAACAAAUGGAUCGGAAUCAAAGUCAGGCUUACUGAACUUUGAGAUUGGGUUUGGAAUUGAGAUUUAUAUAUACACACACACACACACAUACAUACAUAUAUAUAUAUAUAUAUAUAUAUAUAUAUACUAUANNNNNNNNNNNNNNNNNNNNAGUAGUAGUUAUUAUAUACACACACACACACACAUACAUACUAUAUAUAUAUAUAUAUAUAUAUAUAUAUAUACUAUAAGUGCUUUAUAUAUAUAUUCUUCUAAAUAUACAAAAUUGUAUGAUUAUUCUUAUAAAGUUGUUAUUUGUAUGUAUACUUACAUAAAUACUUGUUUUGCAUGUAUACUUUUUUUUAUUUCUUUUUUUAUAUGUGUAUCUAUACCAUCUAAUGCCGUUAAAAAAAUAAGUAGUUUAAAAUUAAAAUGAUUGAAAUACUUUUAAUGAGUAGACAUACAAAAAAUAUAUAUGUAUAAAGAUAUCUAUGCAAAUAGCAACUUUGCGAGAGUAAUUAUCCAAUUUCGCAUAUUUAAGAUAAAAGCUUAGUUAGAUUUGCCAAGUCUUUUAUAAUCCAAUUAUAUCGCAGUGGAAUGAAAUAAAGGCUGGUUUGGGUUGUAUCUUUUGCAUGAAAAAAUGAUUAAUAUUUUUUCACAAUAUCGACUAUUGGAUUGCACAUUACAAAUCUCAAGGCACUCCGAACUCUCUCAUUCAUUUGUCUGCGCAAAUCUCGAAGUGACCAUUGUGCAAUCUAAUAGUGGAUUCAUGCAAAAGGAGGGAAAUCAUUCUUUCGCGCAAAAGAUACAACUCUUGUUCAUGAUGACCAAGGUCAUAAGUGAAGCUAGAGGCCAUCCUCUUCCUCCCCUCUUUAUAAUAACUUUUCCUGCCCGUUGUAGCAAUGGCGAAUAGCUUCUAGGCCAGCCAACCGCCUCUCUACCCAUCCCCUCUAGUUCUCAAGCAACCGCACCUCACUUUCGGUACUUCCCCAAUUGUCAAAACCCAAGCCUUAGUUCCCUAAUUCCAUGUGGUUUCUUCAUGAAUUUUUUAAAAUACCAUCCCCCAUUUAAAGUUCUUGUAUUUAGUGACCAAAAUGGGAUUACCAAAGUAAUCUUUGAUCAUUGGUAACCCAUAUCCUGAGGUGAUUUGAUCCUCGAUGAUCUUUGAUUAUUGCAUUUGGUAUGCUAUAUUCUAGUGAUCGAAGAUCUCUAAGUAUCCAUGAGUAACAUAUUUGGUAUUAUAUAAAAACCCAAGAUUAUUAACCAUAUAGUACAAAAAUUACAUCUGAUGUCUUCCAUAAAAUAUAAUUUUUAAUCAAAUAAUAUAUAUAUAUUAUUAAUAUAUUCUAUAAAAAAUAUAUUUAUUAAUUCUAUAAAAAUAUAUUAAUUGUUAUUAUAGAAUUAAUAUUUUUGUUUAUGGUUAUAAUAUAUUAUUAUUUUAAUACUACUAUUUAUUUUGAUUGGAAAAAUAAGGCAAGUGGAAGUAAUCUAUUAAAUAAUUUCAAAAUUUGAAGAUAGUAUAAAUACAAAAAUUGCUAUCUAUGACAGUAUAUGAUUAGUAAUAUAUUAUAGUAUAAUAUAUAUUAUAAAUACAAUAUAUGUAAUAUCAACAUAAUAUAAUAUAAUAUAAUAUAAUAUAAUAUAAUAUAUUGAUAUAAUAUGUGAGGUAUAUUAAGAUACCAAUUUUUCUUACUGGACCGAGGGAUAUUUUUGUUGCUAAAUUUCAACCCAAGAUCACUGCAUUGGGAUGAUCUUAGAUACCCGACCUCAAGCACCGGUUUUUCAUCACUAAGUUAGACAGUGAUUUAAUAAAUGAGGAUGAUUUGCAUCACUACUAUGUAGAAAUCAUUAUGGUGCAAUCAAAUAUGGUGAUCUCGUCGCAUCCAUCCACAUUAUCUUUAAUUUUGAGAUGAUCAUCUCAUACCAAAAGCCCCAUAAAGAACGAUCAAUCUUAAUCUUGAAAAUUUUAUAAUUCAGAUUCGAUUGGGCCUGUGUGCAUCUCUUGUUUAUUAGUAGCCCGAGACGAAAUUUUNNNNNNNNNNNNNNNNNNNNGGCCGGGCCGGCCCGGCACGGCCCGUUGCCCAACUCUAUGUGCAUCUCUUGUUUAUUAGUAGCCCGAGACGAAAUUUUGGUUGAAUUCACUCGUGGUUUCUAUUUUCGUGACUCUAAUAUCAAUGUUACGGAAUCUGGUUGAAAUUGGUUUAUUGACAAGGAGUUCGUUAUUAGUCCGCCAAGUAUACGAUGGACAUGCAUUUUAUCAGAUACGGGGCAAGUGUCAUCACCUCCAUAGAAGGAAGUGAACCUCCUUGUCGAUCUCCACUUUUCUUUACCUCUUACAUUCUUUUGCAAAGAUAUUUGACAUCAUCACAUAGUUCCUAGGUUAUUGUAACAACCUGAGAUCUCAUCCAAAAUGGCUAGCCGAAAGAUAUGUUUUUGGGCUUCUUAGUUCCAUAUAAGUACUCAAGAUCUUCUUAAUAAAUAAUUGAUAUGGAACUAAAUACAUACCUGCACAAAUUCUCACAGUCAUCUUCAUCUAUCUUCAACAGGCUUUCUCCAACUUCUUUACCCAUCUUGAGGUCCCUUUUUUUUUCCCACAUCUUAGGUGUCUGCCAAUGCCAACACUUGCUUCUAGUAGCAUGUUGUCUGCGAGAUCCUAAGCUUCUUUCAAUUGGCCUGCACGGCCAAGGAGAUCAACCAUGAAAACUUAGUGAUUCAUUUUCGAUUUGUUUUUUAAUUUUCAUUAUGCUCAAAGUCGUCCAUAGUAUCUUAUUCUUUGGCACGGUCUGAUCAAAUACUUUUCUUGCUACUAGUAAAUCCCAUUGUUUAAACAAGAACAUCCAUUUGUAAUCAACAAAGCCUAGAUCUGGGUUCCUUCACAAACUUCUCCAAGACCACUGCAUGCUUUCAGUGUCAGAACUAAAUACUUUCUCAUACAUAAUCUUAUGUGUUCAUUGCCCAACAUGAAGAUUAGAACUAAAACCCAUCUUGUCGACACUUUCAGCAUCAAAUCCUUCGAACAACUCCUGAGGAGCUUCUGCGAUCCUUUGCAGCUCCGUUUUGCUCGGUAUGAAACUCCCCACUUGGGCUAUCAGAGAAUUGGAAAAUCGAAUCAUGCCGGCGUUGAGAAACUGCACCAAUAUGGAAGAAUUGAAGCAACUCCACGCUCACAUUCUGGUCUUUUCCCUUUCUCAAAGCAACUUCCUUGGAACUCAAAUCAUAAAUAUUUGCAAUAGCAAUCGAAGGGUAGACUAUGCUGCUCUAGUCUUCAACCAUGUGGAGGAACCAAAUCUGUUCCUCUACAAUGCCAUGAUCAAAGCGUGCACCCAAAACCAGCAUUGCUCUGAAGCAAUCAGCCUCUACAAACAGAUGUUGAAUCGCCGACACGCCCAAAAUUCAGUUCUUGCUGAUAGAUUUACCUAUCCAUUUGUACUGAAAGCUUGUGCCGGUCUACUUCUCCUUGUUCUUGGCAAGCUGGUUCAUGUCCAUAUAUUUAGAUCCGGGCUGACCUCUAACUCUAUAAUUCAGAAUUCGCUGAUGGAGAUGUACGCAAAAUGUGAUGAUUUAGUCGAUGCACGCAGAGUGUUUGAUGAAAUGGAGGACAGAGAUGCGGUCUCAUGGAAUACACUCAUCUCGGCGCAUGCUAGGCUGGGGCAAAUGAGGAAAGCUAGAGCUUUAUUUAACUCGAUGCCUAGUAGAACAGUGGUUUCUUGGACUGCAUUGAUCUCUGGGUACACCAUGGCUGCUCAGUUCUUUGAUGCGGUGGAGGUAUUUCAUCGCAUGCAAUUGGAAGGCUUCGAGCCUGAUGAUAUUAGUAUUGUAUCAGUUUUGCCUGCUUGUGCUCAGCUAGGGGCUCUGGAGCUGGGCAGAUGGAUCCACGCCUGCUGUGAUAAGCAUGAACUGCUUCAAAAGAGCUUCAUUUGUAAUGCUCUUAUAGAAAUGUAUGCCAAAUGUGGGAGCAUCGAUCAGGCUCUUCGAUUGUUUGAGGAAAUGAAAGACAGGGAUGUGAUCUCAUGGAGCACGAUGAUCGGAGGUCUCGCAUUGCACGGGCGAGCUCACAAAGCAAUCGAACUGUUUGUGGAAAUGGAGAAAGAUGAAACAGUGAGGCCAAAUGGCAUUACAUUUAUUGGUCUCCUAUCUGCUUGUUCUCAUGCUGGUUUGUUGGAUGAGGGGUUCAGGUACUUUGAUUCGAUGAAAGAGGUCUAUGGUAUUGAUCCUGGUGUCGAGCAUUAUGGGUGCAUGGUGGAUCUUCUCGGUCGUUCAGGCUGCAUUGAUCGUGCAGUAGAAUUUAUCGAGAGCAUGCCUGUUCUACCGGAUGCGGCUGUCUGGGGGUCUUUGCUCAGUGCUUGCAGAACUCAUGGUAAUAUUGGGACAGCUGUGAAGGCAAUGGAAUGGCUCGUUGAGCUCGAGCCAGACGACAUUGGGAACUAUGUCAUGCUUUCGAAUAUAUAUGCAGCAGCCGGGAGAUGGGAUGGUGUUGCAAAGAUGAGGAGAGUGAUCAGGAGUAAGAGCUUGAAGAAGACACCAGGGUGCAGCUUGAUAGAGGUGAACAAUGUGGUUCAGGAGUUUGUAGCUGGAGAUGAUUCGAACCUGCAGUUUGGUGAGAUAUCAGGGAUGCUAUACUUGUUGGCCUCCCAGCUUGGCCAUUAUGGAUAUCAGAGAACAAUGGAAUCUAAAGAAUAAGCAAAGCUUACAGAUUCAUCUCACAAGCUCGGCAACGAUAUUUGUUUUGCUCAGUAAAUAACGCAAAGCUCGAAGACGAGACAGAAGAGGUAAAAGAAAUUCCUCAAACAAGUGACUACACUUAAACUGCAUCUCACUAUACUUUUGCUUGCAUGUAUGUCAUUGGCAAAACAAAAUUGCAGUAGUCAAUUGAUACCAUGAUGCUUUAUGAAGAUUUUUUCUAUAGAAGAAACCAUGAUACGCCAUAUUGAUCCGAACCGGACGGUACGCCGUAUCAUAUCUAUUUGGUACCGAUACCCUGGUACAUAUGGUAUACCGAUAUUCGGUACGCUAAAAAAAAUUUCGUACCAUACCGUACUGAUACUAUGCUAGUAUGGCACCAGUAUGAAUCCGGUACCGAGACAACGAACCUCAGAAGAAACGAUAUUAAACUGACCUUAAAUGCUGAGAAAAAUAUUUGAUGAGAAAGCAUAAUUUCUAAAAGUUACGUGUCAUGAUUUUUGUCCUGGAUGCAGCAGAUCUUGAUAGCAAACCUUACCUAGACCUACCUGGUGGCUAAACUAAUCCACAAUGGAUUCAGUGAUCCUUCUUGAUCAUUAACAUGCCAUGGUUUUUAGUGUUUUCCAGCAACAAGUAGAAGGUGGCCCUGGUGAAAUCAUCCAACAUACUUUUUACUUAUUGUUGAUCAUAAUGAUGGAUGAAAACAAAAAAUAAAUGCUCUAAUUUGGUUGAACCUUUCACAUUAGUUAUUCUGAAUGCUUGAUUUGCACUCGGGGAACACAUGGACUGUGCACUGAACCCAUAGCGAGAAUCGCUUUUAGGUUAAAAACAUGACCUGUGAGUUCUUUAUCAUUGUUCAUCACAGUAAUGGAUCAAAAUAAAAAAAACAUAAACACUCUAAUGGUUGAAGUUUUUGCAUUAGUUACUGACAAUGAAGCAUCAUGCGAAACUUAUGGCUAUGCGCUGAACAACACAGUAAAGAUCACUUUGAAGUUAAAAUCCUAAAGAAAAAUGUCUUUGCAAUUACAGAUAAAUACAAAAUAUACAAUGUCUGCAAAUAUACUAACAGAUUCAUCUUACAUACAACUUAUACAGUGACAGAAUUCCAGGAUCAGCGGAUCUUCAGAAAGCUGGAUCCAAUCUUAUGGCUAGGAUAGAGCCAAUGCUUCGUUUCAGCUGGAGUAGGGGGAUGAAGAGGAGAAUGAACUGUACUUGUUUGAUUUUGAAAAUGAUGAAAUGGCCAGGUACUAAGUUACAUCUUUGACAGAGUAGCCUGCAUGCUUGAAACCAGGAGCAUACUAUUGAAGAAACCCUUCAAUUGAAGCUGGAGAAUAUCCUUCCGUAAAAAGAAUGCAAUGUUGAAGCUUCAUCAAUCUCCAACACAAGAUAAACUGAAGUGUGGAAAGCAACUGAUGGAAGCAUUCAAUUUCAUGAUCGGUGCUGCCUCAUGUUGUCAGGCAUUGCCAGCAGGACUGAUGGUAAGCUUCAAAUUUUUUGAAGGCUGGACCACAAUAAGCUAAAUGCAGAGAUCCAAAGGGCAUGCCAAAGUCCAAAGAUAAAAAACACCAGAAUACAGCUUGAUUUAGCUGAACAGUUAGCUGAAGACCUGUUGGCUGUACAACUUACUUUCUAAACAAACAACUCAUAUUCUCAAGAAUCUGUGAUGAUAGAACUCAUCAAAUGACAGGCGUUUCACUGCAAAGGAUAGAGAACUUCGUCAGCAACACAUGAUACACUAGAUGAAAAAUUGAGGUUAAAAGUACACACCUGGGUUUUUGCACAAAAGCCUAGCACACAUAUCAAUAGAGUCAAGAUGCAAACUGGGGAGGAUGAGCUGUGAAAAUGGCAAGGACGUACUACUCUUUAUGCUUUUUAGAAGCUGCAGAAGAAACCAACAUUAAGCCAGAACAAAGGCAAAAAGGAAGGUUACAAUAAUGAUGCAAUAAUCUUAUUUGUAAAUAGAUUAGCCACCUGAACAUUGUUACUGCCACGAAAAGGUGGAUACCCAUUCAGAAGCUCAAAGAAAAUUGCACCAAUGCUCCACAUAUCUACCUGGUUAGAGAAAGCAUUUCAAUUUGCUGUCAUUUGAGUAGGAGGAGAGAGCGACUUUUACCUUGUCGUCAUACUGUUGAAAUUCCAUAACCUCUGGAGCCAUGUAGAAAGGUGUUCCACAAACUGAGUCUGCAAACUCGCCAGGAUGAACAGCUCUAUUUGAAAGCAGUAGGAGAACAUGUAAGAAUUCCUUCUGAAGAUAAACAAUUAGUUGUACAAAAUACUCUGAAUUCUGAUAUGGAAUACUCCAGUAAUUUGCUACCGAUACCUUGAUAGACCAAAAUCAGCUAUCUUUAGCACAGCAUCACUGCUGGGAGUAGAAAGUAGAAUAUUCUGCUCCACUAACAGCAAAUGUCAAUGAAUUAUGAAGAGCAUGAAUUCUAUAAGUAGAAUUAGAUGGUUAACAUUGUUCUGUACCUUCGGUUUCAAGUCCCGAUGGAUUAUGUGGUGAGCAUGCAUUACCUCCAAACCUGCUCCUGCAAUAUGAAGAUAAAUGAACUAUUGUAUCAUAUCCACAAUAUUAGUGGGACAAAAAUACUUGCUUGAUACUUAUCAGUUCAUUGAUGAUACAAAUACCUAGCUGCUUCAUGAAUUUUCUGACAGUAUUUUCAUGCACCCUCCCUUUUUGCUGAAUGUAAGUGGCUAAGUUUCCUCCGGAACAGAACUCCAAAACAAGGAAUAUGCAUCCAUCAACCUGAAAUGGGAAAAUAUCGAGAAGCAAAAGAGUGAAAACGUAAAACUUCUAUUAAUGUUCAUCACAGGGACCAUGAUGCAUAACUCACAAUAAUGGAACUUAUUUUGAAUUCUACUUUGGAAGUUUUGAACAUGGCUGGUGUUUGUGAUAAAAAAAGCCCCAAAUUAUUUGGCCUUAUUGAUGUAAAAAGGCACCCAUGUAGAUAUACACAUAAUACAAUCCUCAGUAGGGAGUUGAAAACCCUUCUUUUCCACUGAAUCUUCAGGUGAAACAGCUAGCUUUAAGAAAAAUAAGGUGAUCUACAUCAAUUCUAUAAGUUUCUUGGAGUUUUAAAUGUGUUCAGCUGUUGCAUUUGAUCUUAUUUUCUUUCAUUUUGCUCUUUUAAUGGAUGAAGAAACUCAUGAUUGGCCUUCCUUCCAACUUCCGUCAUAAAAAUUUUGAUAGAGCCAUGAUGGAACACAAAAUAGCCAAGGCUCCACCAUCAGAAUUUCUGGUAAAAACUCCGCAAUGAAGCACCAGUCCUAGUUAAAAGGUAUUGCCCUCCAACAACAGGUUAAGAAAAAAUUUGCAAAAUUUUCGUUACUUGGCAAGUUCAAAAUUUCCUAUUCUGAACAGCAAGCCCUGGAUAUAAAGCUCAAAGUUACUGAUCCUCCUCCAAUAAAUUGCCCCCAAACCCAAAAUAUUCCCAUGAAGCAUGUGAUCAGAAGCUAAUGAAGUCUAUUACUCUAGAUAUUAAAAGCCCUAAAGUUCGAGCAAACAACUCCUCAAAAGCUCCAACUAUUUGAUUUCCGAACUAAGAAUUCAAUCCAAAUACCAAAACCUGGUUCCGAAACCCCAACUAGCGGCUAUCCAAAAGAGCUAAUGGAACCAAUUUCUCGAUAGAAUAAACAACCAAAAACUUUCAAACUGGGAAAUCAAUUGAAAGCUCAAAUCUUUACAUUUCUGAACUAUUUAAUUCAGUCUAAACAUCAAAUCUCUGAUUCAUAACCCGCAAGAAGCCUCAAUUUUAAGCUCUUUCCCCUCAAUCAAAAGCUUUAAAACACAAGUUUAACGUCCAAAUGAAAUAAAAAUGAGAGAAAAAAAAAAGAGAAAUGAAGUGGAAAGGGAAGGAAGGGAACCUGGAAGACAUCAAGGAGGCGGAUGAUGUUGGGAUGGCAGACGCUUGCCAAGAAGUUGAUCUCGCAAUCGAGGCAUUCCCUCAGGGUCCUGGUGAGCCCCGAGAGGCGGACCUGCUUCAAGACGACGUCCUGGCCGCUCGAUCGGUGGACCGCCCUCCACACGAUCGAGAACGGCCCUUCCCCUCCCAGCCUCCCCCUCACCUCGUACUCUCCGUCGCCGGCGAUGGACGGCGGUGGCCGCUCCUCCGUCAUCCGUCCCUCGCUCUCUCUCAUCCUGGUCCCCUCUCCGCACUACAAGCCAUCACUGUUCUCACGAGCCAACCGACAAGCACGAUCUCAAGCGUUUUGCGAGUCCCCGGACAGCUACCCAAAUGGAAGUAGACCCGCUUUUCCCCAAACCAGCGCCAAAUAAACCGUCGGCUGUGAUUCAGGGUUGACAAUUAUAGCAACCGGGCCAAGCCGGAUGGACGGUAGAUCAAAAAUUUAUCAAUUUAAAUUUAAUUAAUUUAUUAAAUAGAUAAAAUUUUAGAUUUGAAUGUGAUAAUUUUAUUAAAUAGAUGAUGUAAUCAAAUCUAUAAUAAGUAAAAAUAAGUGAAAUGGGGUAAAUAGCGAAGCACCGCCUUUUAUACUUAAAAAUGGAAGUAGUUGUAUUUUUGAUGCAAAAGGAGGAUACAUCUUUCUUCGCAUGAAUCCAUCAUUAGAUCACCAUUGCACAGAUCUCAAAGCAACUCGUACUAUCAUCAUCCGCCUCCGCAAAUCCCAAAGUGACUGAUGGAUGAUUCAACGGUGGAUUGGUGCGAAUAUCAAUGAAUAUUUUUAUCCAAAGAUGCAACCCCACUCUACUGAAAUGGGCCAGAGUUCCGUUGGGUCAACUGUCAAAUUGCGUUUUCUAGGCCCAAAGCCAGUUCUGCUCCCCAAAAUUUAAUUAAAGAUUUAUCAUAUUUUUCCUAGGGCUCGAUAUACUUUUUUUUUUUCCCGUUAUUAUCUUCUGUUCUUAAAAUCUUCCUAUUAUGAAGGGUUGAAAAGAAAAAGGAGGGGGUCAAAUUUUAGUUGUCAAGUAGUCAAGUAGAAUUAUAUCCUUGAUUUUCUUAAUUUCUCUGCAUACUGAUAAGUAGAAGGAAAAUCACACAGAAAAAAGAGGGAAUGGGUUGGUGCUCUCACAAAAAUCAUGACUUAAAUAUGUUUGAGAUUAAUUGGAUCAACAUGAGAUUGCAUACUCCAUGGAAAAGGUGUUUUUCUUCCCUAAUUUUCAUAUGAUUCUGAUUUGCUCCUCAACUUUAUGGCUGAAUCCUUUUUUUCACUAUCUCAACAAAAUGGGCUGGCACUCACUAACUUUUCAAAAAGAAACAAAUCAUAAACACCAUAACAACAUGUCAAGGAUUAUAGUGCAGGAAGAUCAGUUUAAUGGUCUAAAUUAGGUUUUCACAAUGAGGGAAAUAACAAAAACAUGCAUAUUUAUAUACAAACACACGUACACUCAACACACACUAAUCAGAAAAUCAAAGCAAUUAUUUUUUUAUGUCUUCAAAAAAAGCCCCUAGGCAAGAUGGCUUCCCUCCAUUUUCUUAAAAAUGAAUUGCAAGAUAGUUAACCUAGGGUGUGUCUUGCAAUCAAAAUAUUUUUCUUUUCGUGGCAUACUAUUGGGCUUGCAAAGAACGGAUAUGUUUCUAGGGCAUUGGACGAAGCCCCAGUUGAUCCUUCUAAAAGCCUUCAUGCAAGCAAUGGUUCAUUCAGAUGAUUGCCUCGGAAAAAUCUUUGAUAGCUCGAAAAAUCUAUGGUUCUUAUCGUGCAAUUCUUGCAUCUCCUAACGUAAUAUUUUUUACUUAGGAGCCACCAUCCUCUUAUUUCCUUGUGAUAUAUUUUGAUGGUAGGAUUCAAGAUGAAGGUGGCCAUGGGCGAGCCGGCUUUGUUAUCUAGAGCCAUAGUUGCAUGUUUUUUGGCUGCUGGGGGUACGUAGCUUCUUGACAUUUCAGCACCGAUACAAAGUUGCAUGGAGCAUAGGAGGGGUUGACUUAUCCUAUCAGAGUUUUAGGGCAUGCACAUCACUUUAGAAGUGAUUUCAAAACAAUGAUAAGCUGGUGUCCAUCAGGUGGCUGAUGUAGGAGGCACUCAACCUUAGUACAGGACAUCCAGCUAAAGGGAGCCACUUUUGUAUAGUCUGAAGCAUCUCAUGUGUACAAGGAAGCCGGUAGCAUGGUUAAUUGGGUUGCUUCUUACAUGGUCCAUCACUCUAGUGCAGUUUUUUUGGGACUCCAUGUUUAUUCUUCCUUCCCAAUUUCGAGAUCUUUUGUAUAUACCAACUCUCAAGGUUGGAUUUACACUAGAGCUAUACAGCUCAUUCACUUCAUCUUAAAAAAGAAAAAAAUCCCUUUCUUGAUACAUGCUUGAAGAGUAGAAGUCAACUUUCUAUCACUUUAAUUUCUAAAACACCUGAUGCCUUGGAGUCUUGCCAUUAUUUUUUUAUUUUUGAUAAGGCGAACAGAUCAUACAUGCCUAAUAUGAAUAUGCCCAAUAAAAUUAGAAAACAAAAUACCGUUCAAAUAAGUAUAAACAGCUAGAGUGUUGGUCCAAAGGACUUUCCUUAUAGUGCUCCCCAACAAACGAGUCUUGCCAUUAUUAACCAAGUACUCUUUGAAACACUAUGCGCUCUUUUCGAGCCCGUUGAUUUUCGGGGGUGGAGUUUUCUAGAUAAUAUCCUCAUAGCUCAAGGAAUAAUGCAUGAAUUGGAGAGAGCGCAGCUGCUCAAAAGUUUGACAGCAAUUAAACUUGAUACGAAAAGAGCAUAUGAUCGCAUGAGAUGGGACUUCCAGGUCCGUGGGCUUCUUGUCUUGGACAAGGCUGUCCUCUCUCGCCGUAUCUGUUCAUAUUUUGUGCUAACUUGGAGUCUCCGUUGCUAAAUCAGGCUAUUGAAUAGACCAAAGUUACAGGGUUAUCAACUCACUCCUCUGACGCCUCAAAUUUCCCAUCAAUAUUUUGUCGAUGACUGUUUGCUGUUGUUUGCAAAGGCAAAGAUAGUACAUGCUGGAGAUAGUACUAAAUCUGCUAGUACUUGGCAGCACUUGGAGUUAAUCCAAUCUCUAGUUAAAGCCUUAAUUCUUCUAACUAUAAUUUUUUCUCUGAGAAAAUUGCCACUAAGCUUAUAGGAUGGAAACGGAGAUCACCAUGACAGGCUUCAUUAAUUGUUCUAACCUAUUCUGUUCUUAGUUCUUGGGAAAAUGCAUCGCAUGGCUUGGGAGGUUGUUUAUUUUAGAGCCUAACAAUCUCUCAUCCUUGACAUGAGGACUAAAUAUAGGGUUCUCAUUGUCGAAUAUACCUUAAAAGCUCCCAGAUAUUACUCAGCCAUUUGGAGAUAAUUAUGCAAGCAUACCGAUGUGAUGAGAACUUAUUUACAAUGGAUGAUUGGAGAUGGCUCAAACAUCGAUGUGUGGAACAACCCUUGGUGAUUCACCUCGUCAACAUUUUCUCAUUUUACUGCUUUAUUUGAUGCUAAUUAAUUACUGAACUGUAAGAUUCCUGAGCUACUCAUUAGUGAAAAGAAUGUAAGAUUUAGAGACUCCAUUACUUUUUAUCCAGCAAUUGGUGCAACAAAUCAAUUCUAUUCCUAUACCUUGAGGAAUUGAAAAAGAUAGACUGUUUUGGGAGCCCCAAGAACGUUGAGGGCAAAUUUGGUGCAUGGUAGUGCUUGUGAUAGAAAUAAUUUGACUGUUACCAGGACGUAGGAUAGAUUUGGAAACUUAAGAUUCAGCCAAGAGUUGCUCUAUUUUGGUGGAAGCUUGGAUGGGUUAAAUUAUCAUGUGUGUGUACAUUCUGGCUUCAUGUAAUGAAUGUGCUCAAGUGGACAUGCAACUUGGAGUGCAUCUUGGAUCCCUUGAAGAGCCAAGCUGCAUGCCAAGGAAUACACCUCCAACUUGAACACCAAGUCAUCUUACUUGGUCUAGGGAAACCUGGGUUUCUCCUGCCAAGUGCAUUGUUCUCCUGCAGAUGAUUCAAUUCACUUAGGAACCUCCAUCUCUCGGUUCCAUUAACAUAAAUUUCAAUGGAUCGGAUAGAGGAGGGAUUAGCAUUGAUGGUGUGGCUAUGUUAUUACGGAUUAUCGAGGAGCGUUAGUAGUAGUUGGUCUUGUGCUCUUGUUUCUCACCAAUUAGCCUAUAGUGGAACUUAAGAGCUGCAUAGGAGGAGAUGGUAUAUAUUACUGAGAAAUUGAAUAAAGCUCAGAAGAUUUGCCUUGAAGGAGAUUCAAAAACAGUAAUUAAUAGUAAGUAUCCAAUGCCUUAUUUAGAUGUUCAUCCUACGAUCAUCGAUAUCUGGAGGAUGUCCACGAAGCUGGAAGCUUUACAAGAAAAGCAUGCUUUUCCUCAAGCUAAUUCUACUAGUAAUUGGAUCGCCACUCAUAUUGCCAACAAUUCGAGAGGAUAUACUAAUUCUCGUGCAGUGUAACACAUCUGUCUUACAAAAAAAAAAAGGGAGCUAGAGGGGCGGGUUGGUCAAUUUUGUUUAAAAGAAAUCAAAGUAAAAGAAGAAUUUAAUGCAAACAUUGUCCUCAUCACAAUGAAGUGUUUCCAUGCAAUAAGAAGAAGACAUCGCAAUCAACUGCCGCGUUGCUGAAGGCAUCCAUUUUGGACGUGUGUGCGCGAGCUUUGAUAAAUUAUUUACGCAAUAUAAUACAUAUGACAAGAAUUUCAAGCCUCAGCUCUAAGUUUCAAUGCAAAUCAUUGGCACAUCAUAUUCUUCCUAAUCUCCUUUUUCGCAUUCAGUUUUGCCACAAAAAAAUAAAAUAAAAUGGAGAGAGAUUUUCUUAGCAAAGAGAUAUAUUCAACAACUCUUGGGGCCCUCCUUAUCUUUUUACCGUGCAUGCAUGCAUGCAUGAUUGAAGAGACAUGAUAAUUGCAAAUCAGUCCCUUGUAGGGCCUUCUGCUCUGAAAAACUGAAGUGAUUCUUUUUUUCCACAGGUCAAGAUCUAACAAUGCCCCACUUGCCGGAUUUGCGCCUUUUAGGCCCCGCUGAAUGCAGACUCCUAGACGCCGCAUCCGGGCCCACAUGCAUGUGACGCCGGAGCUCGGUUAACAUUAUUGCCUAGAAGUCUAGAAUCGAAGGCACAUCCUAAUUAUGGGAUAUAGCAGCCAAGAGUUUAUGAAAUAAACGUGUCUUCAGGUUCUCAAAUUCUUAUUCACUAACAACAACCUUACUGCCAUCUUGUUCAGCAGUGUAACCAUAUAAAGUUAGGGGAAGAGUAAAUAACUCAACAGUUUGGAAUACAGGGAUUUUUUUAUGGGUCCCUUGCAGAUAAGCAGACAAACAUAUAAUUUAUCAGCCAGAGGAGCAAUGUGAAAGCACCAUAGCUUGAGUCUUUUUUUUUCUUUUGUAAAUUUUGGUAUCUUUUGUGAAUGAGCUACUAAACCAUUUGCCUUUUUGUGAGCAUUCAUUUAGAAAUUUCUCUAAAANNNNNNNNNNNNNNNNNNNNNNNNNNNNNNNNNNNNNNNNNNNNNNNNNNNNNNNNNNNNNNNNNNUCAUCAGUUCUUGGUAGUGGAAUUUCUAGAAUUGAGGACAAGGUGACAAUUGGGUCAUUGACAUGGAAAAACUUAAGAUUAAUGAAAAUCCAUAUGUUUGGAUUUUGAAUAUGCUUAACUGCGACAAGGAAUGGUUUCAUUGUAUCGGUGUUUCACUAUAUUAUCUGCCAUUUGCUAUGAUAAGGAAUAAUAAUGGCCCUUGUAGCAAUUAGUAUUUUAUUCUAACAAAAAAAAUAUUUUGAAGAUUAGACUCGGAAUUUUGGCAAACUGCUUCUCGUGACUAGUACAUAUGGGAACUACAAUCGCUACAACAAAAAUGAUAACUAGUAGUAUUUUCAAGUACCACUAUAAACAAAUAGGAAUGUUGCAAAUGUUCCUUCUAGAUAUUUUUAUGGCAUUUUCUUAUGUACCAUCUUAGAAAUUAUAAGUACCAGCAAAAAAUUCUCAAAAUAAAUUUUAUAAUCUAAAAUUCAAAAAAAGAGAGGAUUUUCGAACUAAUAAUCCCUCUGAGCUCUUAACCACCGGCCACAACUUAUAUUGUUCUUACACAGGAAUGGUUUAGUGAAAGAUCAUUUAGUAAAUAAAAUAGAUAAAAAUAAAAAAUAAUAUUAGGUAAAUAAAAAUUAAAAUAAAAAAUAAUAAUAGCUAAAAAUUGGAGGUGGAUAAGGAUAUCAAAGAUAAAAUUAGGAAUAGAAGGAAAAUAAACUUGUUUGAGAGAAGUUGGCUUAGAUUGAGAGAAAGGAAUUCAGACAUUAUGAAGAUAUAGAAGUUUGAAUAAAAUUAGUAUUUUACAUGCAUUUUUUAAUUAUCGAUAUUAAUGAUUGUUAUAUAAUAAAAUUUAUUUGUAAAUCAAAUAAUAUUUCAUUCUGGGACAAAUUUGACAGGCUUAAAGGGCCCCUCCAAUACUUUUUUACGGAGUAGAUGAGUAAAGGUAAGUUUAGGUACUUUCUAGAAAACAAAAAUAUUUUUAUAUAGCCAAUGAUUUGGAUAAUACUGCCAGUGUAGGAAUUAACAUGUUCAUGUUGCAACCUAUCAAGGUCAUUAUGUGAUAUGGAUUCACAUCAAAAGAUGAGUAGUGGUAUCAAAUGCCUGAACAUAACUUUUCUUUUCUUUUUCUUUUUUCUAGGAAACUCGAUCAAAAGAUCUAGGGAACUUUCAUUAAGGGAUUGAAAGAUAUAGUCUUAGAUUUACAUGAACAAAUCAUGUUUGGCUUCAAUUAAACAUGACAUACAAAAAAAUGGAUAUUGUAUACAUCGUUAUUUAUUAUUAUUAAUUCAUGAAUAAUCAAUAUAGUUUAUUGAAAGUGUAUAUUUUAGUUAUGAGAGUGAUGAUUAGUUUAAGUGAUAAAAUGACUGAAGAUUGGGUACUAGUGAUUUGGGUUGGAGUCCCACUUUCAACAUAAUUUAUAAUCUUAAUAAAUUUUCAUGGCCUUGCCCAUGAUCACAGAUAAGCCCACCGGAUUACACCAAGGUGGAAGUAGUUUUAGUCCUUAAAACCAAUUAAUAUAAACACAUGAAGUGUCGGGGGAAUAAUUAAAAGCAUAUGGAAAGAUCCGCCGGCAUUAAUUCCGCUACAAGCGAAAUGAUUGAACCCAUCGUACAAAACUGCCCCCACUCAAAUGAACGUGAUUAGACGCUAUUAACUUAUAAUAUUAGCCGUACGAAAUAAAUGUGCGUGUCAUAUGCGCGUGUGUGUAUGAAAGAGAUAAAGCAAGCCGAGAGAAGAAAUUAUACCCUUGGCCAGAAGCACAACUGGCAGCCCCGUGGACCACACCAAUCAUAAUUUUUAUUUUUGUGAACUUACAUUUUAUCGUACAGCUUGGAUUAUUCCAAUAACGCAUCAUUGAUAUAAUGCACUUGAUCUAGGGUAUAUUUUCUCGAGCGAGAGCAAGAGGUAAACAGAAAAAUUAUAUCCUACGUCCAAUCAGUAUUUUGGCCAUGUGUAUCAGCUCAGCAAACAAAAAAAAAAAAAAAGACUUUCCAAACGAAUACUCUGCCCCUCCUCUGAAACCCUAGCCUAGCACUCUUCCUCCCCUCUCUACUUUCUUCUUUUGCCUUGCCUUCCACCUCUAGCCAUGUAGCUUCCGCAUCUUGGUAGCCCAAUGAGAGCCGCAGUAAGGAUAAGCUCCGAGCACUCUGCAUGCUCUUAUGUAGUUCGUCAAUGAUGGAAUCAUCGAUCAAAUAUUGUCAAAGCUUCGAAAGAAGCAAUCUAGUAGGAGCCGCACUGAGGAUGAGGAGCUUUGAGCUGUCCAUAAACCCUUAUCCAAGCCUAGCAUUGGGAGAGACUGGAGGCCAUGAAAGAAGAGGAAGAGGGCUAGAAAGUGGAAGCCACAUUUUUUUCCCCUCUUUGAGUUCAUCAUGUUCAUGUGAUGGCCUAUUAUUGACUUGGUGCACGCUAAGUUGGGACAUCGGAUGUAGGGUAUAAUUGUGAUAUACAUGUGAUAUGGGAUAUAAUUGUGAUAUCAAUGUGAUACAGGGUAUAAUUGUGUGUGUGUAUGUGUGUGUGUGUGUGUGUGUGUGAGAGAGAGAGAGAGAGAGAGAGAGAGAGAGAGAGAGAGAGAGAGAGAGAGAGAGAGAGAGANNNNNNNNNNNNNNNNNNNNUGUGUGUGUGUGUGUGUGUGUGUGUGUGUGUGUGUGUGAGAGAGAGAGAGAGAGAGAGAGAGAGAGAGAGAGCGCUUAGUCAAGAAGUAGUGGUCCCGAGUGGGAAAAAAAAAGUUCAUGUCACGUUUUCAAGCUGGCAUGCACUCUCCGGGGCGAAAACGACAGUGUCCAAGUUUUCCUUUUGGGUCAGCAAGGAAGUCCAGAAACUCGUAACCAGCAGCCUUGCAUGGAUAAACUAAGGUCCAUGUCUUAUUUUUCAUUUGAAUCACAGUUGCCAAGUCCAGUAACGCGGCACCUACUACCUAGUCUCUUCGCCUAUAUAAAGGAAGGUUGAGAGCCUGGGUGUUCUCAGACAAGGGAAGCUCAACUGGGUCGAGACACGUACGUUAGACUGAUGGAUAGGAGAGGAAGGGAGGAGGCCUCCAUGGCCUGCCUUGUUUCCACUCUCAUGGUGCUCUUUGUUUCUCUGAGCUUGCCUCUUCAGACACAAGCAAAUUAUCCUUACCCAUACAAGUCACCACCACCACCACCUCUCCACCACCACAAACCACCAACACUACCACCUCCUCCUGUUUACCACUACAAAUCACCACCUCCCCCUCCCCAUGUCUACAAGUAUAAAUCUCCACCACCACCUCCUUACCACCCCAUAUCACCAGCUCCUCCUCAUCAUCAUGCCUACAAGUAUAAAUCUCCACCACCACCUCCUUACCACCCUGCUCCUAUCUACAAGUACAAGUCACCACCUCCCCUCAUCAUGCUUACAAAUAUAAAUCUCCACCACCCCCUCUUCACCACCCUGCUCCUGUCUACAAGUACAAGUCACCACCUCCUCCUCACCAUGUCUACAAGUACAAAUCUCCACCACCCCCUCGCCAUUACAAGGCACCUUGUCCUCCUUCCCCUGUCUACAAAUAUAAAUCACCACCACCCCCUCCCUACCAUCACAUAUCACCAACCCUACCUCCCUACCACGACAAGUCACCACCACCACCCCCUCCUGUUUACAAGUAUAAAUCACCACCGCCACCUCCCUAUCACUACAAGUCACCACCACCUCCCCCUCCAGUCUACAAGUAUAAGUCUCCUCCACCACCUCCACAUGUUUAUCACUACACUUCACCUCCUCCUCCUCCCUAUCACUAUUAAGCGGCAGAACACCGUCGAAACCAA